RNAcentral lists this ribosomal RNA (433 nucleotides) under uncultured bacterium. RNAcentral's name for it is "partial 16S ribosomal RNA". It matches the Rfam family "Bacterial small subunit ribosomal RNA", at positions 29 to 507 of the family's 1533-position model. The record is from RNAcentral.
AACGAACGCUGGCGGCAUGCCUAACACAUGCAAGUCGAACGAGACCUUCGGGUCUAGUGGCGCACGGGUGCGUAACGCGUGGGAACCUGCCCUUAGGUUCGGAAUAACUCCCCGAAAGGGGUGCUAAUACCGGAUAAUGUCUUCGGACCAAAGAUUUAUCGCCCUUGGAUGGGCCCGCGUUGGAUUAGCUAGUUGGUAGGGUAAAAGCCUACCAAGGCGACGAUCCAUAGCUGGUCUGAGAGGAUGAUCAGCCACACUGGGACUGAGACACGGCCCAGACUCCUACGGGAGGCAGCAGUGGGGAAUAUUGGACAACGGGCGAAGGCCUGAUCCAGCAAUGCCGCGUGAGUGAUGAAGGCCUUAGGGUUGUAAAGCUCUUUUACCCGGGAUGAUAAUGACAGUACCGGGAGAAUAAGCUCCGGCUAACUCCGUG